RNAcentral lists this ribosomal RNA (413 nucleotides) under uncultured bacterium. RNAcentral's name for it is "bacterial SSU rRNA". It matches the Rfam family "Bacterial small subunit ribosomal RNA", at positions 75 to 501 of the family's 1533-position model. The record is from RNAcentral.
CGUAGCAUACGGGGAAGGCGGCGAAAGGGAGAGUAAUGCAUGGAUAUCUACCCUCGGGUCUGGGAUAGCUGCGGGAAACUGCAGGUAAUACCAGAUGACAUCUCCGGAUCAAAGGUGUGAUUCCGCCCGAGGAGGAGUCCAUGUCCUAUUAGCUAGUUGGUGAGGUAACGGCUCACCAAGGCAAAGAUGGGGACGAGGUGUGAGAGCACGACCUCGCUCACUGGGACUGAGACACUGCCCAGACACCUACGGGUGGCUGCAGUCGAGAAUCUUCGGCAAUGGGCGCAAGCCUGACCGAGCGACGCCGCGUGCGGGAUGAAGGCCUUCGGGUUGUAAACCGCUGUCAGUGGGGAGGAAAUUCCAUGGGGUAAUCUCUAUGGAUUGACCUAUCCGCAGAGGAAGGAUGGGCUAAG